GAGUUUGAUCGUGGCUCAGAAUCAACGCUGGCGGCGUGCCUAACACAUGCAAGUCGAACGCGAAAGUCCCGCAAGGGGCAAGUAGAGUGGCAAACGGGUGAGUAACGCGUGGGUGACCUGCCUUCGAGCGGGGGAUAACGUCCCGAAAGGGACGCUAAUACCGCAUAACAUCCUGCCUUUGAAGAGGUGGAGAUCAAAGCUGGGGAUUCGCAAGAACCCGGCACUUGAAGAGGGGCCCGCGUCUGACUUAGCUAGUUGGUGAGGUAACGGCUCACCAAGGCUUCGAUCAGUAGCCGGCCUGAGAGGGCGGACGGCCACACUGGGACUGAGACACGGCCCAGACUCCUACGGGAGGCAGCAGUGGGAAUUGUUCGCAAUGGGCGCAAGCCUGACGACGCAACGCCGCGUGGAGGAUGAAGACUUCGGUCGGUAACUCCUGUCGAACGGGACGAAAGUACUAG
This 461-nucleotide ribosomal RNA is filed under the name uncultured bacterium. RNAcentral's name for it is "bacterial SSU rRNA". It matches the Rfam family "Bacterial small subunit ribosomal RNA", at positions 9 to 457 of the family's 1533-position model. The record is from RNAcentral.